This 480-nucleotide ribosomal RNA is filed under the name uncultured bacterium. RNAcentral's name for it is "partial 16S ribosomal RNA". It matches the Rfam family "Bacterial small subunit ribosomal RNA", at positions 29 to 507 of the family's 1533-position model. The record is from RNAcentral.
AUGAACGCUGGCGGCGUGCUUAACACAUGCAAGUCGAACGAAGCACUUUAUUUGAUUUCCUUCGGGACUGAUUAUUUUGUGACUGAGUGGCGGACGGGUGAGUAACGCGUGGGUAACCUGCCUUGUACAGGGGGAUAACAGUUGGAAACGGCUGCUAAUACCGCAUAAGCGCACGGCAUCGCAUGAUGCAGUGUGAAAAACUCCGGUGGUAUAAGAUGGACCCGCGUUGGAUUAGCUAGUUGGUGAGGUAACGGCCCACCAAGGCGACGAUCCAUAGCCGACCUGAGAGGGUGACCGGCCACAUUGGGACUGAGACACGGCCCAAACUCCUACGGGAGGCAGCAGUGGGGAAUAUUGCACAAUGGGCGAAAGCCUGAUGCAGCGACGCCGCGUGAGCGAAGAAGGAUUUAGGUAUGUAAAGCUCUAUCAGCAGGGAAGAUAAUGACGGUACCUGACUAAGAAGCACCGGCUAACUACGUG